RNAcentral lists this microRNA precursor (67 nucleotides) under Bombyx mori (domestic silkworm). RNAcentral's name for it is "mir-2774 microRNA precursor family". It matches the Rfam family "mir-2774 microRNA precursor family". The record is from Rfam by way of RNAcentral. Lineage: Eukaryota; Metazoa; Arthropoda; Insecta; Lepidoptera; Bombycidae.
AUAACAUUUGGACCAUCGGUCCGUCGAGCAAUUUCACUCGUUCGCUGGAAGAUCUUUCCUUUGUCGU